Molecule: ribosomal RNA, 540 nt
Filed under: uncultured bacterium
Lineage: Bacteria
Description: bacterial SSU rRNA
Rfam family: Bacterial small subunit ribosomal RNA
Source: RNAcentral
UGAGGAAUAUUGGUCAAUGGGCGCGAGCCUGAACCAGCCAAGUAGCGUGCAGGAUGACGGCCCUAUGGGUUGUAAACUGCUUUUGUAUGGGGAUAAAGUCAAUCACGUGUGAUUGUUUGCAGGUACCAUACGAAUAAGGACCGGCUAAUUCCGUGCCAGCAGCCGCGGUAAUACGGAAGGUCCGGGCGUUAUCCGGAUUUAUUGGGUUUAAAGGGAGCGUAGGCCGGAGAUUAAGUGUGUUGUGAAAUGUAGACGCUCAACGUCUGACUUGCAGCGCAUACUGGUUUCCUUGAGUACGCACAACGUUGGCGGAAUUCGUCGUGUAGCGGUGAAAUGCUUAGAUAUGACGAAGAACUCCGAUUGCGAAGGCAGCUGACGGGAGCGCAACUGACGCUGAAGCUCGAAGGUGCGGGUAUCGAACAGGAUUAGAUACCCUGGUAGUCCGCACAGUAAACGAUGGAUGCCCGCUGUUGGUACCUAGUAUCAGCGGCUAAGCAAAAGCAUUAAGCAUCCCACCUGGGGAGUACGCCGGCAACGGUG